Molecule: long non-coding RNA, 3018 nt
Organism: Oxyura jamaicensis (ruddy duck)
Lineage: Eukaryota; Metazoa; Chordata; Aves; Anseriformes; Anatidae
Exons: 2
Source: RefSeq, a predicted model, not a curated record
AGCCCAUAAUGUGGUAUAAUGCCUCUGGGUAUUUUUUUAAAAUGUAAAUCAUUGAGAUAUUUAAGGUUUGAGGUUUAAGAACUGUGCACACACUUUAACUUCUUUUAAAAAUAUUUAGUGUGCAUAUUUACUACAUAUGUAUCUUAUAAGGUCUAGAGAUUAAACUGGAGAUUACUUGCUAAAAUAUGCAAACUGCUGUCCAUGAAUAAACAUCCUCAUGAACUGCUAUUGAAAGUUUCUUAUUUAAAAAAUGUUUAAAACUACAAUAAAAGUGAAGAGAAGUAAGAUGGGGGAAGGAAAAAGCAAUGUUUAGGUAACUGUAAUGGUUUAACUUGGCCACAGAAAAUAAAGACAUUUAUUUUUUUCUCCUGGGAUCUCAUCCAAAGCCCAUUGAGGUCAAAAGAAGGCUUUCCACCUAUUCCCAUGUGCACUGAAUCCAAUCUCUGCUCUGUUGCUCCAUUACUGGGGUAUGCUGAUGUGCUACAACAGCAGCCCACAUAACACACUGUAGCCCACCCAUAUGCCAUAUGCAUUACAUAGCUUUUGAGCUGACUAUCUCUAACUGCUCUAUUUUGAUCUCUGAAUGAGAAUGGUAUGUUUCAGAGACCCAAGCUAAAACAUAACUGCAAAACUACAUAAAGUCAAUGAUUCCAUUUCUAAACCUCCAAAUGACUGUUCUGAUUACUCAUGCAAACCUGUAUUUUUGCCAGGUUUCCUUAAGAGUUUAGUACAAGUAAAAUUAAUAAGAGCAUAUUUUCAUACUGCACAUGCCAAUAUGAUAAAAUGAUUGUCGCCAUAUACAGAUACAAACCUGCUUCUUUGGUUUCAGCUUUCUUGGCUGUGUUUGAUUGUAAUUGAAUAUAAAUGUUAGAAGAACCCAGCUAAGAUUCCAACUAAAAGGAAAUUCAGUGACAGCCAUGAAAAAAAAAAAAAAAAAAAAAGAAAACUAUUUAUUUUCCCCUGGAGUGUUUAGCUUUUAUUAAAUGUCAACAAAUCUAAAAACAUGCUUUGCUAAUCUACGGUGUGUAUGGGAAAUAAGUCACAGGCACAAGUUACUGAAGAUAAUGUUUGUUUUGUUUAAGAUAAACAGGAUUCAGAGAACUGAAAUCUCUCACAAGCAUUUAAAACCUCCCCCUUGUUUUCCUUUAACGUUUGUCAGAUCUCCCACUGGUGAUCAAAGAAUGCCAAGCUGUGGUAUAGCAUGGGGUCUGAAAGCAGACCUACAUUUGUGAUUGUUUGCUACCCUCUGUGAUAAGUUUAUCCAUCAGUUUCUUUCCUGUUGACUUUCAUGUGUGCUAUUAACCCAGGAUGUUAUAUCUUCUCAAAGAGAAAAUGGAAUUACAAGAGGAAGAUGACGCUGCCUUGAAAGUCUGCUGCUGUGCUGCCCAUUGGAGACUUGCCUUGGGCAUGAGGACCACAGCCACAAAAACAGCCUGGUGCUGGGAGCCCCACUUUGCUGUGGCAUAAGCUGGGUUCCUGCUGACCUCACAUCUGUCUUUGCAUGGGUUUUGCUGAGGCUGAGAUGUUAAAGUGGAAGUAAAUGUUGUACGUAAGAGAAACAUGUCAGUCAUAAAGGAGAGUGCACAGCAAACGUGCUUCAUCUGGCACAGUAUUUCAUAGGGUUAAGGGGGGUGAUGAGAUUGUAGGGCUAUGCGGGUCAGUUUAGUCUCACCCAAGGGAUCCUAGGUUUGGUUAAAUAUCGUGAAGAGGAGUGCUAAGUCUUUAUACACCUGGUUUGGCUUAGAAAGUGAUUGACAGAACAAACUAUUGCUAGGAUUUGGCAUUGCAGCCUAUACGCCUAGGAUGGAAGUGCUAAGACAACCAAAUGAGGAGGGUAGAACUGUGGACCAACCUUGUUGCAGUGUGGUCUCUUCUGUACAUUAGCAGUCAUCACCGGUUUCUCAUGGAAUAAUGUUUUGGCCAGGUAAAUGUAAGGUUUGUGUUUGGUCUCCAGUCAGAUGGUACCCAAAAAUAAGUAUCAUAUGACACCCAUCUCUUAUUAAAAAGCCGAGCAGAAGAAAGCACAGAUGCAAAGUAGUUUGGGCACCAUAAACAAACCACCACCAGAAAAGCCAGGUAUGUAUCAGAUCGUCUUUUUAGAGAACAUUUUUUCUCAGGCGUAAUGAGGUGGGAAGAGAGCCAUUGGUAGAAGAUUUUCCCUUACUUCAAUGCCUCCUUUAUUAUUUUCAUUAAAUUUCCUUUCACUCCUGCUAAUACACAGAACAAUAAAAUAAAGCAAUUUGAAAGUUCACAGUAUGCAAGAUUCAUCUUGCAUCCACAGAAUUUGUGUAACUCAUUUUAAAUUGAUGUUUGCUUGUUUAAGAAUGCACACCUGCAUGUUACCACUUGUGGUAAAUAAGUUUAUUAGCCAAGGAAUGUCUAAAUACUUUCUGGAAAUCCCAUGUAAAUGCAGUUAUGUUUUCUGUUAAGAUCCCCCCUUGGUAAAAAAAUAAAAAUAAAAAUAAAAAAUAAUCUAUCCCACUGCCAUACUCCAGAAGGUAGGAAAAAAAGCAGUAAACGAUGUACAAACAUGCAGGAAAGAUGCAGGUGAAGGGUUUCACAGAGAUUAAAAACGUCAUACUCCUGAUGAUUCAGUGCAUCUUUCCAUGUAGAAUUUUAACAUUCUGUUUCAUAUUAUAUUUAUGUCAGAUCAAAUGCUCCAGUCAGAGACUGAGACUUUAUUAGUGCCUCAUUUGUAUUUGUUUUUACUUUGAAUUAAAACCUAAAGGUGGUGACAGAAUAAAUUCUUAUGCUUAGCAUCCGAUUAAUAAUUGAGAGCCACUCAACUUUACUAAUCAUCCAUUUGAAGAGAAUUUCCUUAUACGAACAGAUUGUUCCACUUAGGACAAUUUUUUUUUUUUUUUUUUUUUUUUUUUUUUAAGAGCAGAAGGGUGGAAAGAAAGUGAAGGGAGGCCAGGGAGCAAAGGGAGAAGGAGCAAAGUGGGAAGCUUUGAUCAUUUCACCAAGGGGCUGAGGCAGUUCAAAAUGAAAGAAUCUCUCACCACCUUUAAAAAAAAA